AGCGAACGCUGGCGGAAUGCUUAACACAUGCAAGUCGCACGGGGGCUUCGGCUCGAGUGGCGGACGGGUGAGUAACGCGUAGGAACGUGUCUUGGGGUGGGGGAUAACGCUGGGAAACUGGCGCUAAUACCGCAUAUGGGCUGAGGCCCAAAGCCUUCGGGUGCCUUGAGAGCGGCCUGCGUCCGAUUAGCUAGUUGGUGGGGUAACUGCUUACCAAGGCGACGAUCGGUAGCUGGUCUGAGAGGACGAUCAGCCACACUGGGACUGAGACACGGCCCAGACUCCUACGGGAGGCAGCAGUGGGGAAUAUUGGACAAUGGGCGGAAGCCUGAUCCAGCAAUUCCGCGUGGGUGAAGAAGGUCUUCGGAUUGUAAAGCCCUUUCGACAGGGACGAUGAUGACGGUACCUGUAGAAGAAGCCCCGGCUAACUUCGUGCCAGCAGCCGCGGUAA
Molecule: ribosomal RNA, 451 nt
Filed under: uncultured bacterium
Lineage: Bacteria
Description: partial 16S ribosomal RNA
Rfam family: Bacterial small subunit ribosomal RNA
Source: RNAcentral